AUUUCUAGGGCCAUUCCUGUGGCAUAUGGAGGUUCUCAGGCUAGGGCUCUAAUCGGAGCUGUAGCUGCUGGCCUACACAAGAGUCACAGCAAUGCAGGAUCUGAGCCACGUCUGUGACCUACACCACAGCUCAUGGCAAUGCCAGAUCCUUAAACCACUAAGCAAGGCCAGGGAUUGAACCCACAACCUCAAUGUUCCUAGUCAGAUUCGUUAACCACUGUGCCAUGACAGGAACUCCUGUUGGAAGAUUUUUAAUCACAGUUUCAAUUUCAGUGCUUGUGAUUGGUCUGUUCAUCUUUUCUAUUUCAUCUUGGUUUGGUCUUGUAAGAUUGUACCUUUCUAAGAAUUUGUCCAUUUCUUCUAGGUUUUCCAUUUAAUUGGUGUAUAGUUGCAUAGUCUCUUAUCAUCUUUUGUAUUUCUGUGAUGUCUGUUGUUACUUCUCCUUUUUCAUUUCUAAUUUUAUUGAUUUGUCUUCUUUUUUUCUUGAUAAGUCUGGCUAAGUGUUUAUCAAUUUUACUGAUCUUUUCAAAGAACGAGCUUUUCAUUUCAUUGAUCUUUUCUAUGGUUUUCUUCAUUUCUAUUUCAUUGAUUUCUACUCUGAUCUUUAUGAUUUCUUUCCUUCUACUAACAUUAGGUCUUGUCUGUUCUUCUCUCUCUAGCUGCUUUAGAUGUAGAGUUAGCUUGUUUUUUUUGAGCUUUUUCUUGUUUCCUGAGGUGGGCUUCUAUUGCUAUAAACUUUCCUCUUAGAAAGGCUUUUGCUGCAUCACAUGGGUUUUGGAGUGUCAAUUCCCAUGGCUCAGCAGUAAUGAACCUAACUAAUAUCCAUGAAGACCUAGAUCUGAUCCAUGGGCUUGUUCAGUGGGUCCAGGAUCUGGUGUUGCCAUAAGCUGUGGUGUAGUUUGAAGACUUGGCUCAGACCUGGUGUUGCUGUGGCUGUAGCAUAGGCCUGUAGCUGCAGCUCCAGUUCGACUCCUAGCCUGGGAACUUCCAUAUGCCAUGGGUGCAGCCGUAAAAAGUUAAAAUAAUACAAAAUUAAUUAAUUAAUUAAUUAAUUAAUUUAGUUAAAGAUAUAAGCACAAGUUAGCAAAUAUGGAUGGUCUAGCACAAUGACCAACCCAACCCCCAUGAAUUCUUCAACUGUUUUGUCCACUUGAAAACAUUCCGACUUUUUGUUUCAAUGGAGCUGAAUUCAGUCUUCCUCUCUCUCUCUCCUAUUGUCAUAAUCUUGAAGGACGUCCCCUUUCUGUUGAACUCUGUAAGUGUAAUUUCCCUUUUGACCAGCUAAGAGAAUCUAGAGGCCAUGAAGAUCCAGAAAAGGACUAGAGGUAGAAGAUGAUGCCUGAGAAACUACUGGAAGCAAAAUGCCUGCUGACUGCACAUGCAUAAGAUGCCGAUACUUAAACUUGUUCAGUCUAAGGUUCCAUCCUUUCCUAAGUCAUUUUUUGUAAUAACAAACUUCGAAGUUCCUCAUCAGGGCACACGUCAAUUCCUUUGGGAAAUAGACAAGCUCAUUUUAAAUCUCCAUCUGAUUUGUUUUCAAGUCACCAUGGAGGCCAGAUAUUUUAAGCCAUUUUGUGAGUAAACCUACACCACACAUCACCAGGGGAGUGAACAAUUGGCACAGUCACACCAGCAGCACAGAUUAAGAAUGAAAAAGGAGGUGUAAAAAUUAUAGCUAGAGAGCAGCAUAAACAAUUUUUUUAAAUGUCAGAAAUCCCAGUGAAAAUAAUCAAGUGAAAGGAAAGGGAAGGGUAUAGAUAUAAAAGGGAUAAGAGGAAAGGUUAAAAUCUUACAUCUCCCUCCAAAUUAUCCCUUCACAGACAAAAAAGAACAUGCCAGAGAAGGAGUGGCUUGCUCGAUCUUUCCUAGAAAUAAAUGAGUACCUUCCUUGAAGGAUUUUACAGAUCCACAGCACAGAGAUGUAUUGCACAUAGCAGAGGAUAAAAGAAACACAGGAGAGGAAGGAGAAAUGGUGGUCACACAUCCCAGGCAGUUAGGGACAAGACCAGCAUUAGGAGUCAAGGCUCCUAGUCCACCCUUCGAUACCUCACUGUGUGAUCCACAGCCCCUUUAUGCUAAUAGAGCUAAUUACCCAGCGUGAUAAUGACAUUCCUCCUCCCUAAGUUUCAAUUACACGAAAUGUCUUUCCUCCAAGUCAAGUUCUUACUGAUCAUAAAUAAAGCUCUCGCUGGUGAUAAAUAAAAUUCUUAAUAAUCUAGACCUGAAGGGAGAGGCAAUCUUGUCCCCUGGCGACUUAAGAGCUCUGGAGAGUCUGUUGGAUUUUACUGCUCUCCAACAUGAGGCUGUGUCUGUACACAGCCAGGACUAUCCUUCCCACUUGGGGACCUGUCCCUGGGGUGCUUUCAGAAUAAAUCUACACCUCUAUAGGUUUAUGAUUUAUUGUCAUAAUUUAAUAAUGAAUCAAGAGUUCCCAUUGUGGCUUAGCAGUAAUGAAUCCAACUAUUAUCCAUGAGAAUGUGGGUUCAAUCCCUGGCCUCACUCAGUGGGUUAAGGAUCCCGCAUUGCCAUGAGCUGUGGUGUAGGUCACAGUUGAGGCUCAGAUCUGGCAUUGCUAUGGCUGUGGUGUAGGCCAGCAGCUGCAGCUCCAAUUCAACCCCUAGCCUGGGAAGUUCCAUAUGCCUCAGGUGCGGCCCUAAAAAGACAAGACCAAAAAAAAUGCAUCUAAUGCUUGCAGACCCUUGAGAAACUAAAAACACAAUUCAAGAGGAAAAGAAGAAAAUUACCCCCAAAGAUGACAUGGAAUAGCAGGCAAGGGAGAAAUGCCAACAGACUAAAGAAAGUCCUACAAAGUAAAGAUUUUAAAAGGGGGAUUUUAGCUUGAAGGAAUCUACGAAACCCAUCCAGCACUUGGGGAGAGAAUUUCCACAGGACACCUGAUUUCUUUGGUUCCACUGCCACCAACCAGGACCCAGGGCUCCUCGGACCACAGCUGUCACUCUGGAGAAGGGAGCUGAGUUGUACAAUUUCCACAAUAACCUUCGCUUCCAGCAUCAGAACUCAUCCUGUUCAGUUCAUCUUCUGCAAGUCACUUACCUCUCCUCUCUAUCAAGUUACUAGCUCUUCUUCAGUGCCUUUUUUACAAUGGAGUUAAAAGCCCAGCUGCAUUGUUAGGGGUUCUAAACACGUUAUUGGUAAAAUAAAAUCACUUCCUGUCAUACACAACGAGCUCACUGCAAUGAGCCUUAUUAGACAGCUACCAGCCAAAGCUCCCUUUAACACUGAGUUAACAUCCCCCAGUAGACUGUGCAAGUUUGUCUGUGUGUCUGUGUGUGUAUCCAUGUGCAUGACAAUGCUGAGGGAGGAGAAUUCCAGCCGAAAAUCUCAUUAACUAGAAUACACUUGCUUGUCUGAAUUAAAUGAGCCUGAAUUCCAGAGUUUCCACAAAUCCCUCCUUUUUGCUUUUAUCUCCUUGUGGGUCUCAAGGGGGAAAGAAUGAGAAGAGAGGUCACAGGUCAGAUGCAAGCAUGCCCACCUCCCCCCAUACACCCCAUCAUCUUGGAUGACUUGGUCCACCCUUCUUGUCCUCAGUUUCCUGCUCCAGGAGGUGGGGUGAUAACAGCCAGACCCAGGACUCAGGGAUGCUGUGAAUGUUCAGAGACACUGCCUUGCACCAAUGCAGGCUCUUAUUAUAUAAUUUAGAUGUUUUCUACACCCAUCAAGACUCAUUUCAGAGUGCCGUUGGCAGCUCCGCAGUGAAGCCAUGUGCAGCUUUAGUAGGAUAAUUGGGCAGGGAGCCACCCGGCUUCCUGGAUUAGUCAGUUUUUGUUUAUGAAGAAGUUCCUGAUGUUUAGAUUUUUUUUUCCUUACUUGCUAAUUGGCCUUAAAUGCUCGUAAAGAAAAAGCUGCUACUGACGUAAAUUAAAAUUGCUUUCAUUUCAUUUCUUAUGAAGUCUUGUUUAUUCUAAGACAGGAUUUAUUUUUUGUUCCACCUUUAAAUUUUUUUUAUUAUAUUAGGUGGUAGCAGUAUAAAGAAAAACAUGGUUCAGUGCUGAAGCUCUUUGGGAGCUUCAAAUCCUGUAACAGUGUGUGUGUUAUGUUUCCAUGGGUAUAUUGCAUGUGCACAUUUGUGCAUGUACGUGUGUAUGUAUGUGGAAGGAUAUGACAACAUUUUGUAGGCAUUAAGGCCUUUUUAAACAGCCAUAAAGGGAAGAUUUGGGAUUUAUUAAGAAUUUCACCCACAUAUGCCUACUUUGCAGUUUGGGGUCCCAAGUUAGGCCUUACAUAAGACUAUUUCCUCCAGGUACAUCAAUAUUGGGCUUAACUGGCCUCUGCCAUUUAUGUCCUCCUUUGAGGUUGGAAAUAUACAGUCUCUCUAAGGCUUGGUUGCAUGUCUCUGUGAAUGGGGACAGAAACGAUCGCCCACAGGUAUAGAGAUGAGAUCACAGUCUCCGCAGAAUGAAUGGCUUUUGUGGGCAGGUUCCCGGUAACCUCUUCACUGAGGGUGGAGCCAUGUCACUGGGUGGGAACCACAUAAUUGGAGGUGGGACCGUGUCACUUGGGCAGGGCCACAUCACUGGGGGUUGGGCCAAUCAUCGGGGUGGGAGUAUGUCACUGGGGAGGGGCCAUGCCCCCAGGGUAGAGACACAUCAUUGGAGGUGGAGCCACAUAACCACAUAACGGGGUGGGGGCUCGUCGCUGGGGUACAGCCACAUCGCUGGGGGUGGAGCCACACCUCCAGGGUAGAGUCACAGCACUGACUGUGGAGCCGUGGCCCCAGGCCCUGUGGUGAGUGACACCUCUGUGCCAAGCAGUCCUGGGAGAGUGAUGGAAACCAGAGGAGCCUCUCACACCUUCCCACUAGGCUUCAGGGGCCCCCAGGAAGGGCAGAGACGAGAGAUUCCACAUGCAAGUCUGUGCAGCUCGUCUCUGCAUCAUCUUGGCACCAAACUGCCCACGUUCAGUGGGUAGCACUUCUCAGUGUACAGACUCCACGGGAAGUGCAGAGAUGGCUCAUCCCCUCUCUACUGUGCAUGCGUGCGUGCGCACACACACACACACACACACACACACACACCAGUCCUGCUUCAGAGCUUCCAAACCCAAGCCUACCAGCACAGAAACCCUCUUUCUUACUCUUACUUAGGACCAGAGAAUUGGGGACAAAAGUUUUGACAUUAUGAGAACAUUAACUGAAAAGCAAUUAUCCAAAUCAGUGGCUGUGGAGAAAGGCAUAGAGAAUUAAUUAGAAUCUCCUCUUCAAGUUACAGUGAGAGAGAGAGACAAUGAAAGAGAGAAGGAGCAACCAAGGUGCUGCAGAGCCUGGGCUCUGGGUCAAGGUCAGGGGCCUGUCUCUAACCCCAUGCCCACAAUCACCCUCUCAUUCACCCCAGAGUGGGAUGAAAAUGGCUGGGAAGAAAAAUAAGAUGAUACACAUAAUUCCUAGAACAUAGAGGGUGGGUACCAAGCACUCAAG
RNAcentral lists this long non-coding RNA (5434 nucleotides) under Sus scrofa (pig). RNAcentral's name for it is "lncRNA (ENSSSCG00060003319.1)". Lineage: Eukaryota; Metazoa; Chordata; Mammalia; Artiodactyla; Suidae. The record is from RNAcentral.